Eleginops maclovinus (Patagonian blennie) is the source of this 69-nucleotide small nucleolar RNA. NCBI's taxonomy places the organism in Eukaryota, Metazoa, Chordata, Actinopteri, Perciformes, Eleginopidae. The record is from RefSeq and is a predicted model, not a curated record.
GUGCAAUGCUGACAAUAAUUUCGUCACCUGAAUUACCUCAUGCUUUUGAGCUUUUUAACCCUGGCCACA